Long non-coding RNA from Oreochromis niloticus (Nile tilapia), 2620 nucleotides. RefSeq lists it as uncharacterized. The transcript has 2 exons. The record is from RefSeq and is a predicted model, not a curated record. Lineage: Eukaryota; Metazoa; Chordata; Actinopteri; Cichliformes; Cichlidae.
CCUGAGAAGCCUUUUCGGAGACAAAAGAGCCGGCUCUUGUUAGUGAGCCGAGCCGAAAGAGCCAGUUCUCUAAAAAGAGCCGGAAGUCCCAUCACUAGUUGUGUAAUAUGCUGGUAUUGAUAUGAUCAAAAAUGAACUGAGUUGUUUCCUAUUCUAUAGAAAUUGUACAUCUAAUUAAUAACAAGGCUUUCUGCUGAUGUUACUAAUUAAAAAUGUAUUGUUUUAUUUUUAAGCAGCAACUUUUUAGCAUGCAAUCAGUCCAUGCUGUACAGGACAGAUUUGUAAACUGUGCAUACAAAAAUAGACAAUUUCACAAAAUUGCUCAUUCAACAAAUGUAAAUCACAGCAGAUUUUUGUUGUUGUAGGUGCACUGUCACAACUAGAAAUGUGGGGGGAACUUCUCAAAAUUGAAGGCAGAACAGGAAAAUACAUGGAAAUAACAAUUUUUCUUUAAGCACAUCAGUAAAGGUCGAUCCGGAUACUUGAUAACUGUUGGUGUAGGUAUGACAUGAAUUUGAAUCUCCAUUAUCACAGGUUUUAAUUGGGAGGCAACAUGCAGAUAUACAUAAGGAGGACUAUAAACAGCGAUUCCUAUUGCAUACAACUGUUUUAGAAAAUACCAACAACACUGUUAAUUUAUCGCUUGCUGGUCUAUAGACUUUACAGUGUGGAUGGAUGGAAAAUCCAUCUGGCUCCACUCUUGCUGAAUUGGUGCUACAAACAACUCUGCGCUCGGCUUUCCUGGCUGUGUGUGGAUUUAUACUUACAAAUUUUGACCCUAUUUUUCUUCCUUUCAGCUGAUUGGUCAAUUUCAUGUCAAUCACCAAUUAAACAAUGCAAUCAGAGAACAUCUCCAAAAGUUGAUUCUGUUCAUCUGGACGAAGCGUUUUCAGUGGGAGAAAAUGCUAAAAAGCUACGUCCAGAUGAACAGAAUCAACUUCUGCAGAUUUACUUACCUGGAUGAUUGAGCAUGCAUCAAGACAAUCAGAGAACAGAUAGGUUUGGCUGUUGGAGGGCUGCUUUACGGAGCUUCAGGUCCUGGAAGAAUAAAUUCCUUUUUACAUACCAGACCAGCAUUUUUCUUCAUUACCACGAAGGAAAACAGUCUGUGCGUGUCCGAGUUCAGUGGUUUUUGUGUCACAGGGCUUAUAAUAUGUGUAAAAAUCUGGCCAGGGACCAUCACAUCACACUGCUAUCAUAUUUUUCUGUUACUAUCAUGUUUCUUUUCUGAGAUGUUGUUACUUUUAUGACAGAUGUAACGAGAAAUCUUCCUGAAAGUAAAAUGUUUUAUUCUAAUCAAAUAUUUGAUUCUGAUAACAGAUAAAGAUUUUUUUUUACUUUUGUUCCGCUAUGAUAGUUUAUACAAAUUUUGGCCAAUUCCUAUUUAUUUUAAUAGGCUUUAGCCCCCAAAAAGUCGCCAGCGACAGGUUUUUCCAGACCUGUCUCGUCAAACCUGAGCUACCAGGGGUCCAACACGCCUGGACUUUUAGAAGAAAAGAGAUGUCCGAAAAUAAACCACAGGGUCAAAUACUUGAUUUUGUUCAGUGUUUUAGAGUUAUCAAUUCGAAUUGACUAAUUUAAAUAAUUUAGUCAUCUACAUUUUGAUUGCCUUUUUCAGUAAAACCAGCAAAAUUUCAAUUUCUUUUUUUUUCUGUCAUUAAUCCUUGAUUACACUCAUAUAGUAUACAGUAGAGGAAAAAACCUACCAGAUGUGUAAAGUAGUAGUAAUACUGAAAAAAGGGACAAAAGCACACACGCUCACAGCUGAUUUUAUGACACUUUUACAGCUAAAACAAUAUAUAAUUCCGGUUAUCCUGCGUAACAUUAUUGGGGAUAAAGGGUUAAGGACCCGCAAUUAAUUUUUUUAGUUUAGCUUGUGUUUACUACCAUUUUUUUUUUAUCACCACACAGUAAACAUUAAGUAAUAUGUAACGUGUCUAUUUAUCCUCCAUGCCUGGUCCAUUAUCUUAAGCUUAGGCUGCUGCCCCUCAACCCAAUCCGGUACUAAGUAGAGAGGCCCAGAGUUCGCUCUCUCCAGGCACUUGGUCCAUCCUCCGGGGGAAUCCCAAGGCAUUCCCAGGCCAGCUGAAAAACAUAGUCCCUCCAGCAUGUCCUGGGUGUUCUGGGUCUCUUGUUCUCCUGGGAGAACAAGUGUAGACGAUGCCACAUGAAGGAUGAUGAAAUUCCUCAUAUCACCUGAGCUGGCUGUGGAGUACAACAUGCUUGGCCGACAUGGGAAAAAAAAGUUCAGAGAUUUGCGUCUUUUUAAUGUUGUGUAUGAGACACUGAAGAAGAAUUAUUUAACAUCAAAAGUCAACUUGCAAGAAGCAGAGAAGGCUCUGUCCAAGUGGUUCACUGGAGCUAAAGACAGAGGAGGACUGAGGGCUGCAAGGGUACAAAAUAGACUUACGGCUCUGUAAAAAAACAAAAAAAGAAACCCUGCUGAUUCAAGAUAAACUUUUGAGUUUUCCAUCUGACUUUUUCCCCAUGUUGCUACAGUUCCAAAUAUCUAAGGAAUUUUGCUGUAGUUUGACAUUUCUAGUUUUUUAAAAGUUUACACACUUUGGUAUACAGUUACGUAAAAUCACAGUUGUUGGACAAAAUAAAUGUGAAAAAUGUU